AAAAAUCAUUAUCGUUUCUUUCGACUUUCCUUUCAUUUAGCGCUCAAACAUAAAAUCAGUACAGCAAAACUUCCAUAAAAUAAUGAAGAGAAGCCAAAACAGGGGCGUGUGAAGCUCGAGAAUGCCACAUCUGUAAAACCUUAUACAAAAAAUAAAAGAAGCAAUGCCAUUAAACUUCUGAACUCUUCAUUGAAAGAUGCAUUUAAUAAAAUUGAGUUGCAACGAAAUACUUACAAGAACAUCAAAGAAGCUCCUGAGCAGAUCGUUUUAAUAACGCCUUUGAACAACAAAAAAAAAACCGGAAAAAAUUGAGCGGACAAGACGACGAAAUAGGCAACAUUUCCAACCAGUUGAAAUACCAGUGAAGCAAAACUCUUCUUCCUUUAUUCUACAGGCAUUAGAGGAGCAUUUUGCCGCGCAAAUUGAAUCAAUCGCUAAAAUUUUUAGAAGACAUUUUCAAAUGGCCAUGGAAGAUAGCAAAAGCGCAGGCAUAAAAAACAAGUUCAUACAUCCAAAUUACGAAGAAGAUAUGGGAUAUUUUGUGCAACCAACAGAUGCAUGGUCUCAAUGGGAGUUCAAAAAGAAACUAAAAGAAAUUCGUGAGAAAGAAAUGUUGCGCGUAAAUAAACAAAAAAAAGAAAUUUUAAAAUUUGAUGAAAAUUUAAAAUAUUUGGAAAAUACACAUUUCAUAGAUGAAAAAAAUAUUUAAAUAAAAGAAAUAUCAGAUAUGCUGCGAUUCAUAAAAUA
Anastrepha ludens (Mexican fruit fly) is the source of this 747-nucleotide long non-coding RNA. RefSeq lists it as uncharacterized. Lineage: Eukaryota; Metazoa; Arthropoda; Insecta; Diptera; Tephritidae. The record is from RefSeq and is a predicted model, not a curated record. The transcript is spliced from 2 exons.